CAAGCUGCUCAGGACCUUCUCCAUCCUCCCCGUUGCUCACAAUUCUGUAAGUCUCGCUGGCCCCUCUUGUGUUUUUAUGUAAAUUAUGUGUGAGGAUUGGUUGUCAAAUAAAUACGGUUAACCAAAUAUGAAAAGGAUGGAUCUUUCUGCUGCUCUGGUGGUGGUUGGAAGAAAGCUAAAGCUAAUUAAACUUGUUCAUAUAUAUAGAGGUUACGGGUACACUAAUGUCAACUUUGUAUAAGAUUUGGCAGUCUAUAUUUGAGUUGACUCUUGAGGAUCCGCCUAGAAUGAAAUCAUCAGAUAUGUAUAAAUGCACGAAAUUAUUUUAAAACAUUUAUGGGAGGAAGAAGACAGAAAUGCUGGAAUGAGCCUACACGUACAAUGACGCCGUAUUGGCGGCUUAGUUUAUUGCAACUAUGCUUUGCUUGUGGCUUACGUCUUACGUCAUACAGACAUCGUUGGACCAAGUUUCCUGGAGGUGUCCUAUAUAACUUUUUCUGGUCGCUGCUUGUAACGGUAAUAUUUCAUCGCUAUGGUUUAUCUGCUGGUCGUUCUGAAGUUUCCUCUUUGGUAUUUGUUUUGUUUGGCUAGUGUGAACCUAUUUUCUCAAAUGUAAGUAGGUAAUUGAACGGUUUUGCCUCUUCGUUUGGUUUGAGUGAAGCAGUAGUAUUUGUUAUGUCUUGAUUCAGGGGGGUUUGAUGGUCGAUCUUCAAGGCGGUGGAAAAUAUCUGCAAAUCCGAUCAAACAUCGGAUGGACAUAGACUAGUCGACGAGUUUUAUGUGUUGUGAGGAGGAUAUAUAUACUAAGGAGAAUAUGGUAAGGGGUAGUGUGAUUGACUUCAACGGUGGCCGAUGAGAGGCUUGUCCAGUGUAGCUUGCCUUAAGGGGUUUCUCAGUAGAGGAGUUAAUCUUGACAGGUAUGGACGACCACCUUAGAAGAUUGAUGUGGCCUGGCUGGAACGCAUUGGAUACUACUCUCGAGCUGGAAUACUCGAGACCCUUAGGAAAUCUGUCUGGUGAGACUAAUAUACGUUCACGCUAUGAAUAGUGUCACUCGUGGCCUUUUAUAGGGUCUUGGGAUUGAUGUUGUGAUAAUGUUGACUGUUGUGAAUCAACGAUAGAGAUGUGUCUCGGAAACUAGAGGUGGAAAAUGAGGCGGAAAUGAGAUUCCAUUCCCGAUUUCCUGAAAUUCCGAAAUCCAAUUUAGAUGCUUCGUUCCCGUACUCAAAUUUAGUUCGGGAUGUAAAAUUUAAAUUAGGAACUUGGUUGCCCCGAAUUAGAAUCUUUUUUCCGAAUAAGCCACGAACACUCAUAUGCAAUACUGCAACCGCUUGAGUGGGCUAAUGUGUUUGUGACUUUGCUUCAAGCACCACUUAAUAUUCCC
This 1384-nucleotide long non-coding RNA is filed under the name Linum usitatissimum (flax). Its description in RNAcentral is "long non-coding RNA (LUSI_LNC002835)". The record is from RNAcentral. Lineage: Eukaryota; Viridiplantae; Streptophyta; Magnoliopsida; Malpighiales; Linaceae.